CACCAAACCAAAUCACACACCCACCAAACCAAGCCAUUUGCUUUGCCUAUAAAUAGGCAUUCUAUUUGCUUGUAAUGUAAGAUGAAAUGAGAGAAGAUGAAGGGAAGGAAGAAAGAGGGUGAGUGUGUGAAGAGAAAGAGAGCAAAGAGAAAUUCUCCUAGAGAGAAAAUUAGGUGAGCAUACAUAUUGUAAACACUAGAGUUGUAACCAUAUUAUGUUAUGAAUGAAAGGUUACUGUUGCUGCUCUCCGAGGACGUAGGCAUAGCCGAACCUCGUUAAAUGCUGUGUCUCAUCUACUUUACGUGCAGUUCAAUAUUCGCUCAUAUCCCCGUUCAUUUUAUAACAAAAUAU
RNAcentral lists this long non-coding RNA (351 nucleotides) under Prunus dulcis (almond). RNAcentral describes it as "sRNA ncRNA". Lineage: Eukaryota; Viridiplantae; Streptophyta; Magnoliopsida; Rosales; Rosaceae. The record is from RNAcentral.